CGGUCGUUAUCGGUUCGAUCUUGUCGGACGCUCUUUGGCGUCUCGUCUCCGAUUCCCCGCCCCAUCCGGCAUCUGCUUUCGAGUAGCAAUGACUACGACGGCCGCGGUUUCGGUGGCUCUGCCCGAAGUGAAGCUCUUCGAUCGAUGGGGCUUUCAUGGUCUUGAGGGACCCAAGAGCCUCUGCUUGCCUUCUACAUGCUGCUAUUUUAUCAAUUGCACAUCCCCAUAAGGUCCUUUGGUUCUUCGUAUUCAUCCCCAGAGUAUAAGCAGUGAUCAUACAGGUCUUGUACAUAAAGAAGAUUCCUCCAAAAACCUCAGCAAAAAGGAACACCUCGCUGUCCAGAAAGGCACAACACAUCAGCCAUGGAAACAACACAACCAAACCAAUCCCUAAUACUGAAGGAGGUUCUGCACUAAUAAUUAGCUGAUGGAUUCAUAGUUUGUACUGAUCCCAUAGCUAUACUUCCCUCAUGAAACAACUACACCUGAACCACUAUAGAAGAUUGAGAGCCUGAUAUGGAUGCUGCAUGAUUCUGUCUCCUCGUUUGUGCAGGCUGCAAAGUAAAUGGAAGUCAUCAUCAGGAAAUGUGUUGACAGAAUGAAAUGAACGGAGGAAGAAGGGAACAAGUUCAACCAUAUUGGCAGAUGUGUUCUCGAAUGCUCUCUCGAUCUCUCCUACAAGAUCAUUAAUUGUAGGGCGUCCUUUGCUCGAACUGGCGACACAGAGAACGGCAAUAUUUAAGAUGGACUUGAAAACGUCCAAAUUAAGCUCUCCUUCAAGGCGCGGAUCUACAAAAUCUUCGAGUGGGCGUUUGCCUGCUGAGACAUCCUUGGCCUGCAUCAUGCACCAUAAUAGAAUUCAAACAUGAAGAUCUUGCUGAGACUUCUGGGGUAUUACUAUCAAUUUGGUGGCUACCUUUCUUGUCAGAGUUUCUCGUGCUUUUGUGUCCAGUUCAAUCACCUUACGCCCUGAUAGAAGCUGCAAUAUGACUACGCCGAAGCUGUAGAUGUCACUGGCACAGGAGAGGUUUCCAUGGGACAUGUACUCCGGAUCCAUGUAGCCAAUGGUUCCCCUAACCUCUGUGAAGCAUUUUGUUUCCUUCAUUCCCACCAUCCUCGCCAACCCAAAGUCCGAAAGCUUUGGCUCCAUGUUGUCCAUCAACAGGAUGUUUGCGAGCUGAAAACCAUGUAUCAUCAAUGAAAGACGAUGAACUGAUACAAAGUUAUGGGUCAACUUCUCACCUUGAUGUCUCUGUGAACGAUACAGCCAUCUGGGUGAGUGUGGAGAAACCUUAACGCAAGGGAACAGUCUCUUAGGAUCUUCACCCUCUUCCCCCAUGGAAGAAGAGCAUCACUUCCUACAGUAACCAAGGAGGGAGACCAGAUUGGGAUGACGAACUUUGGAGAGGCCUUCGACUUCUCUCGUGAAGGAGCCAUUCAUAGCAGUCUUGUAGAGGUGCUUGAUUGCAAUGAGCUGCCCGCUGGGAAGAAUGCCUUGGUAGACUUGGCCUGCACUUCCAGUGCCGAGGCGUAUUCUGCUGCUGCUGUAGUUUAUGGCUUUCUCGAUCUCUGCUUUGGAGAAUCUGUAAAGACCAGUCCAUUUGCUUGCUACUUUCCCUGGUGCAGUAGUAGUGCCUUGAAAACAUGUGUUAGUGUGAUUGCUUCUGUAAGCAUUGAGCUCAAAUGCACAGGGAGAAUACCUUUGUUGUGUUCAUGAGUCCUUUUCCUAGCCUUGAACAAAGUAAUGAGAAGAAACAAUCCGAUCAAACCCAGUAGUGUUCCGAGUAUCACUUCCACAACAUCUGCUACCUGAGAAGACAAGAAGAAAGUUCAUCAAUUAGAAGAACUUGAAAGAAUUGCAAGAAGUAAAAUGACAACAUGAGAUGAGAACGAUCUGCACUUUACCUGAAUCCAUUGCUGCCAAGCACCGGUAGUAGCCAUCAGUCCAAGUAUCAUCUCUGGGCCUAUUUGAAGCAAUUGCUGCUACGGUGACAACGCUACAAAUUGCUUUCUGCGUGUCAUUAUCCUUAACUUCGAGAUGUUCAACAAUCUUCUCUAUCAUGUUUGAGAUCUCAUAGGUGCAGUUACCACACUGGUUGAUGAAACUUGGCACAUCAAACCGUGAACAAUUCGUGAUGACGGAAUCAAAUUGCUGGCCAUAAUUACUCCUAAUGGAAGCGAGACUGAGGUUUGAGCAACUGCCAUUAUCUUGAUGUAACAAAUCAAAUUUACAUGAAUCUAUAGAGAGAUUAUAUUGCAUGUUAAAGCGAGAUGUGCAGUUAUCCCAUUGCUGUUUGUCGAGAAGGAUCGCUUGGGCUUGUGAGGCCGAACGAGCUAGAGCUUUUGAGAAGAAGUAUAGGACACUGCGACAGCAUUGGGUGGUUCUCACAUUGUCCCAAACCGUCACUUCAUGAUCAUUAGGGUGAACGCAUUCCCCGACCGGUUGAUAAGGGAAUGCAUCAAAGUCCAGAGUGCAAGCUGAUGUCAAGAAGAACAAGUCAGUAAAGAGAACUACAGAAGCACUUGAAUUAGGCAAACAAAAGUAGAUCAUCGCAAUAGAAGAUUAAAACUACACUGUACUGCCAAAGACCUGUUGAAUUUGUUGAGUUGAGGAAGAGGGAGAGGAUUGUGAGAAGCACUGCAACAACCUUCAUCCUUGUUUAGGAAGUUGUUUCUGGAGAUGGAAUUAAAAGAGGGAAUGACGUGCAUGCUUUGAUUUAGCUGUGUCAUCGAGGGGAUCGCUAAUCCUCAUUGUUUAAUGCACAAGAUCUGUUGAUUUCUUCCCUGAAGCUUUGAAGUAAACGACUUGAUUUGGAUGUGUUUGGACUGAUACAAGAAAGUUGAAAGAGACACAUUUGGCUUCAACCUGCUAAUACUAAAGUUCAAGGUGUGCAAACUUAUUUUUUAUUUGGUGCUUCUUCCAGACGAGCAGCACAGCCAGUCAAUGAUGUUAUGGGCUAAUGAUUUUUUUCCUGAUAAUUCUAGUAGUUUAAUGCAUUGCAGUAUGUCAUGC
Molecule: long non-coding RNA, 3013 nt
Organism: Musa acuminata AAA Group (dessert banana)
Lineage: Eukaryota; Viridiplantae; Streptophyta; Magnoliopsida; Zingiberales; Musaceae
Exons: 6
Source: RefSeq, a predicted model, not a curated record